CCAGUAUUUUGAAAGUUAUUUCUCAACUCAAUAACUUACAACAUUUAUUUGUGAUCGAAUAGCUCAGUGGUAGAUUUAAAAGAUCUCUGCUGGUGACUCGGCUGGCUGGGCAUCGUAGGAAUCGCAAUUCAAAGUAGGUGGAGUGCCAAACAUUACCGAACGUUUAUAGUAUAUGGCGCUUAUCAAACUACCCUUACAAUGAGGAGCACACCGCAGGAGUUAUAACCCUUGAUUUUUCACUUCUUCGCAAAUCUAUCUGUUGUGUUUCCCAACUGAUGUUCUAUAUUAUGCCGUCAUAAAUCUAUCAUUAUUGAUGGCACCUUUCGAGCCUACUUGUGGCAUCUUCCCAACCAAGGAACGCUGUUGUAGUGUCAUAAAUCUCCACGGAACCACAUGCCGCGUCUGUGGCUUCCCCUAACAGAGUCGACAAAUAUUUAAUGAAAGUAACUUCACUUCAUAUACACUUUUGCUUCUUUAACGAACGAGCGGCUGUCACGG
This is a non-coding RNA of Pelobates cultripes (western spadefoot toad), 498 nucleotides long. Lineage: Eukaryota; Metazoa; Chordata; Amphibia; Anura; Pelobatidae. The record is from the annotation of a GenBank genome assembly.